Molecule: transfer RNA, 85 nt
Filed under: Fodinibius sp.
Lineage: Bacteria; Pseudomonadati; Balneolota; Balneolia; Balneolales; Balneolaceae
Description: tRNA-Ser
Rfam family: tRNA
About the family: Transfer RNA (tRNA) molecules are approximately 80 nucleotides in length. Their secondary structure includes four short double-helical elements and three loops (D, anti-codon, and T loops).
Source: RNAcentral
GGAAAGUUGGUAGAGUGGCUGAUUACACCUGUCUUGAAAACAGGAAGUCCGAAAGGGCUCGGGGGUUCGAAUCCCUCACUUUCCU